GCCUGGGUGGCUCGGUCGGUUAAGCGUCUGACUUCAGCUCAGGUCAUGAUCUCACAGUCCGUGGGUUCGAGCCCCGCGUCAGGCU
RNAcentral lists this transfer RNA (85 nucleotides) under Felis catus (domestic cat). It matches the Rfam family "tRNA". Rfam says of the family: Transfer RNA (tRNA) molecules are approximately 80 nucleotides in length. The record is from Rfam by way of RNAcentral. Lineage: Eukaryota; Metazoa; Chordata; Mammalia; Carnivora; Felidae.